ACUUUUGGAGAUGUCAGGCUGUCCUUCUAAUUCAGAUGUACCAGGUCUUGUUUGAUUGUGAAGGCCAAGCAGUCCUGGAUCUAGCUACUACUUGGAUGGUAGACCACCUUGGAGUACUAAGCUCUGUAGAUA
This 132-nucleotide ribosomal RNA is filed under the name Crocodylus porosus (Australian saltwater crocodile). The record is from RNAcentral. Lineage: Eukaryota; Metazoa; Chordata; Crocodylia; Crocodylidae.